CCCUUUUCAUCAUAUGAUACAAGAAGCCUAUUUGAGGGUACCUCUCGCUGUCCUGAAGCACUUAGUACAACGACUUGAUAGCCUUCACUAUGUUCAUGGCCUACUACCAAAAUCUGCCCCAUCAUCAAGUCCUCGAUAGUGCUCUCCUUAGUGUUGGCCCUUGCAAAUCUGCUUUCCUAUCAUGUGGGACUGACAAACAUCUGACGUAGUGUUGAUUUCCUCUCAAGAAAGCUAUUAAGUGCAACAUAGUUGGAAGCAAACCAUGUCACACUUGGUCUCAAAAUCUCUCUCACUGCUUACCUACUCAUCAGUAAUAGGACUCAUGUAUGGUUAUAAAUCUAUCUGGUGAUGGUUUGGGUUGUCUCCAUUGUUAGCUGCACCCUACGAAUCUUCGCAAUGUCCAUCAGCAUGAGGUCGAUAGAAUGCGCAACAUAUGAGGUCCAAAAAAUAUGGGGUCACCGCUCCAUCAAGAUCUCUCCGGUAACCUUACAUUAUGGCCCAUUAUCAAUAUUGACUUGCACGAUAUUCUCCUCUCCGACUUGAUCAAUCUGAGAAUGUACAUGGCAUCGUGCACCUGAUCGGAAGCAUCAGCUGACUUAUAGAAGAAAGUCUUUGCAUCACAAUAUAUGAAGAUGUUGAUGAUGCUCAACUUGGUAGGACUGGUCCAAGCAUCACACAUCACCAUUAGUCCAUAUGUGGGCUACUAGCUCUUGUAUGAGGCAAUCCACUUCUCUAGCUCCUC
This 742-nucleotide long non-coding RNA is filed under the name Phoenix dactylifera (date palm). Its description in RNAcentral is "long non-coding RNA (PDAC_LNC003323)". Lineage: Eukaryota; Viridiplantae; Streptophyta; Magnoliopsida; Arecales; Arecaceae. The record is from RNAcentral.